GGCAAGAUGGCCGAGUUGGUCUAAGGCGCACGGUUCAGGUCCGUGUCUCGAAAGGGGCGUGGGUUCAAAUCCCACUCUUGUCA
RNAcentral lists this transfer RNA (83 nucleotides) under Penicillium chrysogenum. RNAcentral describes it as "tRNA-Leu (CAG) (tRNA-Leu-CAG-1-1, tRNA-Leu-CAG-1-2)". It matches the Rfam family "tRNA". From Rfam's summary of the family: Transfer RNA (tRNA) molecules are approximately 80 nucleotides in length. Their secondary structure includes four short double-helical elements and three loops (D, anti-codon, and T loops). Further hydrogen bonds mediate the characteristic L-shaped molecular structure. tRNAs have two regions of fundamental functional importance: the anti-codon, which is responsible for specific mRNA codon recognition, and the 3' end, to which the tRNAs corresponding amino acid is attached (by aminoacyl-tRNA synthetases). tRNAs cope with the degeneracy of the genetic code in two manners: having more than one tRNA (with a specific anti-codon) for a particular amino acid; and 'wobble' base-pairing, i.e. permitting non-standard base-pairing at the 3rd anti-codon position. RNAcentral also lists the same sequence under 4 other names. Lineage: Eukaryota; Fungi; Ascomycota; Eurotiomycetes; Eurotiales; Aspergillaceae. The record is from RNAcentral.